Molecule: ribosomal RNA, 451 nt
Filed under: uncultured bacterium
Lineage: Bacteria
Description: bacterial SSU rRNA
Rfam family: Bacterial small subunit ribosomal RNA
Source: RNAcentral
AACGAACGCUGGCGGCAUGCCUAACACAUGCAAGUCGAACGAUGCCUUCGGGCAUAGUGGCGCACGGGUGCGUAACGCGUGGGAAUCUGCCCUUGGGUUCGGAAUAACUCAGAGAAAUUUGAGCUAAUACCGGAUGAUGACGUAAGUCCAAAGAUUUAUCGCCCAAGGAUGAGCCCGCGUAAGAUUAGCUAGUUGGUGGGGUAAAGGCCUACCAAGGCGACGAUCUUUAGCUGGUCUGAGAGGAUGAUCAGCCACACUGGGACUGAGACACGGCCCAGACUCCUACGGGAGGCAGCAGUGGGGAAUAUUGGACAAUGGGCGCAAGCCUGAUCCAGCCAUGCCGCGUGAGUGAAGAAGCCCUUUGGGGGUGUAAAGCUCUGUCAACGGGAACGAAAAAAAUGACGGUACCCGUGGAGGAAGCAUCGGCUAACUACGUGCCAGCAGCCGCGGU